AUGGGAAGAACAUAUGUUUAUGUUCAUCAUGUGGAUAAAGAGGCCUUUUUGAAAGGCAAUGUUGAGCCAGACCCGGAUGAGCUUGACAUGGUGUUUGAGAGUAGUCCUAGCUAUGCGGAUGUCUUGAAACAAGUGAUGAAUGAUUUGAAUUGGAUGGACCCAAGUGACUUUGUUGAGUUCGAGGGAAGGCAUAAUGUUGGUUUUGGAAUGCACAUCCAUUGGAAGACAAUGCGUGUGAACUCCGAGCAAUGUUGGGUUGCAUACAAGGAGACGGUUGCGGAAUAUCUAGACAAGGCUCUUGAGUUAUUUGCCUCCAAGAAAGUUGAGUCUAGCUUGCAUUUGUACUUGAACCGGAACCCCUCCCCAUUGGUUGCUAGUACUCCCCCACCCAUGAACCAAGAUCAAAUGAGUGAACCUCAUUUGACGCAACAAAUUUGGCCAACAUUGAGCCCGAUUUCAAACAACCGAAAUGAAGCUGUUGAAGAGGACAAUUAUGAGUACGAGGAGGAUGACAACGAAGUUGAUCUCCAUGACAACAAUGUGGGUGAUCUCGAGCAAUAUCAUGUGCAAGGGACAAUGGACUAUUCCAUCCCUUUUUCCUGUGCAUAUGCAUCGGACACCGAUGACGAUGGUCCCGAUGAAGAAGUUUAUGAGGAGGGGUUCACGCCCAAGGAGGCCCAAGCAUUUAAGAAGGUAUUAGGGUGGGAUCACAAGACACCAUUGUUUAAGGAUCUUAGUCUCGCGGAUGAAGCCGUUGUAGAUUGUGGCAAAUGUAUAUCUCUUGUAGCUAGGCCAAGUUUUCACCAUGAUUUGGAAGACGACAAGAAUGGGAUAUAUCCCGGUUGUGAGUUUGAAUACUUCUUGGAAUUGAAGAUGUGGCUCGACAACUACUCGGUUACGCAUUAUCUUCCACAUAGAGUGGCCAACUCAGACGUCAAUGUGCGUUACACUGUUAAAUGUGAAGUGCCAAGAUGUACAUGGAUUGUGCGUGCAAGGCCAUGGAAAGGAGGUCCCACUUGGCGCAUAGUGAGUUGUGUACCAAGUCACAUGUGCCGACACAAGAAUGCGGAUGGCGAGCUUGUGUAUCAACAACACAGACAACUCACUUCCGAGUUCAUCGCUUACAGGUUUCCCAACCAAAUGUCCACACUUCCAACAAUGAGCAUCAAGAGUAUCAUUGACCUUGUGAAAGCCAUCUUACAUUACAAGGUGAAGUACGACAAGGCAUGGAAGGCGAAGCAAGCCGCAUUCAAGAUGUUGUAUGUCAAUUGGGAGGAAGCAUACACCGACUCCCUAGGCUGUUGUUAG
RNAcentral lists this ribosomal RNA (1308 nucleotides) under Triticum aestivum (bread wheat). RNAcentral describes it as "partial small subunit ribosomal RNA". Lineage: Eukaryota; Viridiplantae; Streptophyta; Magnoliopsida; Poales; Poaceae. The record is from RNAcentral.